AGAUUGAACGCUGGCGGCAGGCCUAACACAUGCAAGUCGAGCGGUAGAGAGGUGCUUGCACCUCUUGAGAGCGGCGGACGGGUGAGUAAUGCCUAGGAUCUGCCUAGUGGUGGGGGAUAACGUUCGGAAACGACGCUAAUACCGCAUACGUCCUACGGGAGAAGCGGGGGACCUUCGGGCCUCGCGCCAUUAGAUGAGCCUAGGUCGGAUUAGCUAGUUGGUGAGGUAAUGGCUCACCAAGGCGACGAUCCGUAACUGGUCUGAGAGGAUCGGACCAGUACACACUGGAACUGAACGACGACGGUACCAGACUCCGUAGGGAGCAGCAGGUGGGAAUAGUAGGACAAGUGGGACGAAAG
RNAcentral lists this ribosomal RNA (359 nucleotides) under uncultured soil bacterium. RNAcentral's name for it is "bacterial SSU rRNA". It matches the Rfam family "Bacterial small subunit ribosomal RNA", at positions 26 to 381 of the family's 1533-position model. The record is from RNAcentral.